This is a non-coding RNA of Flavobacterium frigoris PS1, 67 nucleotides long. The record is from Rfam. Lineage: Bacteria; Pseudomonadati; Bacteroidota; Flavobacteriia; Flavobacteriales; Flavobacteriaceae.
UUUUAGCCCCGAUAGCAGUGAAAAUCCCACGUUUUUACGUGGAUUGAAACGGAUAGCGGGAAUAGCU